Molecule: ribosomal RNA, 319 nt
Filed under: uncultured delta proteobacterium B2M37
Lineage: Bacteria; Deltaproteobacteria
Description: bacterial SSU rRNA
Rfam family: Bacterial small subunit ribosomal RNA
Source: RNAcentral
GUCCGCAACUAGCGCAACCCCUGCCUUUAGUUGCCAUCAUUAAGUUGGGCACUCUAGAGGGACUGCCGGUGUUAAACCGGAGGAAGGUGGGGACGACGUCAAGUCCUCAUGGCCUUUAUGCCCAGGGCUACACACGUGCUACAAUGGGCGGCACAAAGGGAAGCGACGCCGCGAGGUGUAGCAAACCCCAAAAAACCGUUCUCAGUUCGGAUCGGAGUCUGCAACUCGACUCCGUGAAGUUGGAAUCGCUAGUAAUCGUGGAUCAGCAUGCCACGGUGAAUACGUUCCCGGGCCUUGUACACACCGCCCGUCACACCAC